Canis lupus familiaris (dog) is the source of this 1566-nucleotide long non-coding RNA. RefSeq lists it as uncharacterized. The record is from RefSeq and is a predicted model, not a curated record. The transcript has 6 exons. Lineage: Eukaryota; Metazoa; Chordata; Mammalia; Carnivora; Canidae.
CUGUGUUAAACAUACCUUUUCGUCUCCUACCAGAAGGUCCAUACCUUUACCCCUAAAUCGAGCUGACAAAAUCCUCUAUAUACAUAUCACUUGAGUUUUUUUUAAUCAACCCUUUUGUCUCUCUGCCAGUGUAUUUGUAAGCAAUUCUUGUUUCUUCAUCUUGCCCAUUAGUCGGUUGAGAUUCUACUUCCUCAUAACUAGUCCUUCUUCGAUAUUGUUCACUGGUGUUUCCAAAUUCCCUACGGCAAGACUGCUUUUAUGGCUCUCCCCAGUUCUUCUAGAUUCCUCUUCUCCCUGUCCAGUGGAUCUCCCCAGUUCUUCUAGAUCCCUCUUCUCCCUGUCCACACCUGCUGUCUUUGUCCUUUAGUGCUCUACCCAGGGCUCCACUACCGUCACCCUCUUUGUGAUUUCAUCAGCUUGGUUCCCUUCCCGCAGAUGAUUUAUGGCUCUCCCUCCCUCAGCCCUCACUCCUACAGAUGUCUGAGGUCACCUCUGUACCCACCUUGAACAUACCGCUUUUAUUACACACAUCCUAAAGUAUUGUCUUUGACUUACAUGUGGGGCUCUCCAAUCAGGCUGUGUGUGCCCCUUAUGGACAGGAAUUCUCUUAUUCAUCAGCUCCCCUCAGUAUCUAGUACAGAAUGUGACACAUAGUAGGGUUCCAGUAAGUGUUGCUGUGAUCAAAUCAAGUAAGGCAAGGAUUUUCUUCAAAGAUUCUUCAAGACUUUCUUUGACUCCAAAGAAAUGGGUGAAGGGGGCCAAAAGGUAAAAAGUGCAAGCUCUUCACACCUUACCAUUCUAUCAUCUGCUGACCCAGCUUGGACUGAGCCUUCUAGGUGAACAUCACUGGAUUCUGCUGGGCUUGUUGACAUACUAGAGAUGCUGCAUUCUCUUUGAAUGACUCAGAAGAUGGAGAUUCUAAAAGAGCUCAGCUGAGUGGUUCUGGCUGAGGGUUUCUCCUGCAAGUGCAGUCAGAUGGUGACAGGAGCUUAAACAGCAGGAGGCCAGCUAGACAACCCUCUUUGUUCCUGUUGUCUCAGAGCUAGCCUUCUCACUACAUGGUGGCUUCAGGGCAGUUGGACUCCUUAUACGGCUGGAAAUCAUUGGCUUAUGAGAAGCAUCAUAACCUCCAUUGUGGAGGCUUUGUGCUACACUUUUAAGAUGAUGGGUUUUGUCUUCGGGGGGCUAAUAAAUACAAGUGGCCCUAUUGUAUGGAAGCAACGAUUUCACUCUUCGAUGUGGAAGACUUCGAUACAGUAAUCCCUUCCAACAUCUGGCUGAGAUCUAGAGAGAAGGAGGAGGACUGAGCACCAAGUGUUGGGUACUGAGGCUCCCACCUCCCAGCUGCUCUUCUCUGCAGACUCCGCUCAGGCCUCCCAGUGAGAGGCUACCUGCCCCACAACAUGAGUGAAGAACCGAAGCUGAGUUUUCUUAGCACGAGAAGCUUUGCCCCUGCCACCGUGGAGGACAUCCCCUGCCAAACUCCCCUUUCUCUGAAGAAAUACCACUGAGACCAAGUGAGAAGUAGCUACAGUUUAAUACAAACCUGCACCAGAACACAAUGUG